Molecule: small RNA, 2013 nt
Filed under: Pan troglodytes (chimpanzee)
Lineage: Eukaryota; Metazoa; Chordata; Mammalia; Primates; Hominidae
Description: retained intron
Source: RNAcentral
AAAGGCUCCUGGUGGAAGGUGAGACAGAGAGAGUCACUGAGAGAACAGGGCAAGAAGGUGGCUGGCUGUGUGAGGGAACGAAAAGUGCAGUCGUACCCUUGUGAAGCUGAGUGGGGCCCCAUGGGCCUGGCCCCACCUGUUGUCCAGAGCAUACCCCUGCCCCCAGGUGAUGGAGGACUCCAUGAGCUCGGCCACCACCCUGACCACGCCGCAGGAGCAGGUGGAUAGUCUCAUCAUGCAGAUCGCCGAGGAGAAUGGCCUGGAGGUGCUGGACCAGCUCAGCCAGCUGCCCGAGGGCGCCUCUGCCGUGGGCGAGAGCUCUGUGCGCAGCCAGGAGGACCAGCUGUCACGGAGGUUGGCCGCCUUGAGGAACUAGCCGUGCCCCGCCGGCGUGCGCCGCCUCUGCCCCGUGAUGUGCUGGAAGGCUCCUGUCCUCUCCCCACCGCAUCUUGCCUUUGUGCUGACCCCGCGGGGCUGCGGCCGGCAGCCACUCUGCGUCUCUCACCUGCCAGGCCUGCGUGGCCUCAGGGUUGUUCCUGUUCUUUUAGGUUGGGCGGUGGGUCUGUGUCCUGGUGUUGAGUUUCUGCAAAUUUCUGGGGGUGAUUUCUGUGACUCUGGGCCCACAGCGGGGAGGCCAGGAGGGGCCCUGUGGACUUUCACCCAGCACUGUGGGGGCCUUCAGACUCUGGGGCAGCAGACAUGCUGCUUCCCGUCAGCCAGAGGGGGUCAGGGCUGCCCUGUUGCCAAACAACUCCCUGAGGCCUCUCCGCACCACCUCAGCGGGCAGGAGGUCCCACCAUGUGGACAGACAUAGCCCAAGGAGGCACCACAGGCCUAUGUGUGCUGGGGGAUGUCAGGUGCCACCCAGCGCUGUCCUGGUGGUGUUUACAAUGACAUCCUCCUCCUCCAUCAUUCCAGGGGUGGGGUCUCGGCCGCCCCUACCAGCUGGCUGAGCCCCCUGGCCUCCUGCGCUCCCUCACUUCCCUCAGUUCCCAAAGCUGCCCAGUCCAUGGGGACAGAACCGUCACUCAGAUCCACAUUCAAGUGUGCCCACCCUGCAGUCUUCAUCCUCACUCAGCUGCUGCCUCUGGAGGUGCCUUUGGCCACAUGUGCUGUGCUGUUUGUCUCCUCGACGGGCAGCCUGUCCACCAGCAGGCUGCGGUCCCAGCGGGUGCGUCUGCAGCUCCUCCCCUUGGGCAGCCUGGUUCUCCCGGAGGACCUUUCCCUGGGGCCCUGCUUCGUGACGAUGCUGCCUGUGUCGCCCUCUACCAUCUGUAAACAACUGGGUGCCUUCCCCGACCGCACCCCGAUGCCUUCCCAGCUUGGAAGCCAAGGCAGCUGAUGAAGGGAGCUCAGGAGAGCCGUCUUCAGCUGGGCUGGGGUUGGGGCUGCUGUGAGGAAAACCUGCCAUUGUGGCCCUGGAGAGUCACCAGCAGCUCUUGGGAAGGACUUGCUGGGAGGCUGAGAGAGGCUUUGGGCACAGCCUGCUGUCUUUUCCAUUUCCUAAAGUUUACUUCAUUGUCUUGAGGCUUCCAGGUUUUGUUUUUGUUUUUGUUUUUGCCAAAGUAGAAAAGGCAGGUGGUGGGCGGCUGGCGGGGAGUGCGGGUCCCUGCCCCUCUUCAGUCCUGCCCUCCCCUCCUCAGUCCUGCCCACCCCGUGCAGCCCAUGCUGAGGCUGCAGUGGUGUCGUGGGUGUUAUGUGCAGGAACGUGGAGACCCUGACGUGGGCUCACUGCGUUUGGUUUUCUUUUCAGAACUUGGGAGCCCCCAGGGAGGGGCUCGUGUUGGUAGGUCCUAGACGUGGUUCCCUCCAGCCUCCCCAAAAUCAACCCUGGUGUUGAGAGAACGUCUUUCUGUCCAUCGUGGGUAACAGCCUUGGGGAGGGUGCAGAGCUCUGCAGAGCCAUGGGCCAGGUGGGGCUGCCUCAGUCCUGUCCCCUUGGGCACUGAGGAGAGGGGCCCAUUCACCUUUCUCCUAGAAUGCUGUUGUAAAUAAACAAAUGGAUCCCUGGAAA